AAAUAUUUGGUUCGCCAUUCGACCUUCCACGCGCCUCCGGCCUUUAAAACCUGAAAAUGUUAAAUAUGGGAUGAGCAUACAGGGUACACUCAGUGUGGGAACAUGCAAUCAUUGUCCACGUUAAUAAAAUGAGAAUCACAUAUGAUCAAUACAUUCGUAACUGAAAGUCGCACGGUGGCAUACCAAGGACCUUUCCGUCCUGGACCGAUUUAGCCGGCCCCUGGCGACUGGUUGCAACCAUAACUUUAACAUAAUAUCGCAUUGUGGCAUACCAAGGAUCUUUCCAUCCUGGACCCAUUCAACGGGCCCCUAGCGAUAUAAUUUAAUGCAACUCACAUAUAGUAAACACAUAAUAUUAAAAUGGACAAAGAUUAACCACGGCAUGUACUGAAAUAAAUCCCACACCUGAACUUUGAACUUGAACUUCAACUUCAACUUGAGUAAUUCAAUUAAAAUACAUAUCCUAGUCGCGCCGCACCUAGUCAGAUAAAUUCGAUAAAUAAAUAUAUAUAUUGUAAGGUUUUUCAUAACUUGAAAAUCUAAUAUUUUUCAAAUAAAUAUUGCAAAGCAACUAAAUGGUUUUGGGCUGUGACAAACCUACCCACUUAAAAAAAUUUCGUCCUCGAAAUUUAACAAGUCAUAGCUGCAAUAAUCUUCAACAUAAUAACAUGAAUACUGAACUUGAAAUUUCUCAUAAUAACUUCAAUUAUUGCAGCAAAUUCCAACAUACUUUCAACAUAAAUAAUUUAUACUCAUCCCCUUGAAAAAAUAUUUGAAAUAUCUUUACCUUGAUGUCGGAGCACGUAGAGGUCGAAUGGAUUUGUCAUACUUGACUUAAAAACAUUUUAAGAAAAUUUUUAUUUUGCAGAGUCUACAGGAAAGUAGACCUGCUCUGAUACCACCUUGUGACACCCAAAUUCAAUUUAAUUUUCAAUGAAAACGCACGCGGAAAAACUAUGAAUAUAAAUAAAUAUUUAACGAGAAAAUAGUGAAAUAAAUAUCUUACUUUAAAAUACUUUACUAAACAUAACAUUUUUAAGUAAAACUAAAUUCAAAAUAUUUGAUUCGCCAUUCGACCUUCCACGCGCCUCCGGUCUUUAAAACCUGAAAAUGUUAAAUAUGGGAUGAGCAUACAGGGUACACUCAGUGUGGGAACAUGCAAUCAUUGUCCACGUUAAUAAAAUGAGAAUCACAUAUGAUCAAUACAUUCGUAACUGAAAGUCGCACGGUGGCAUACCAAGGACCUUUCCGUCCUGGACCGAUUUAGCCGGCCCCUGGCGACUGGUUGCAACCAUAACUUUAACAU
RNAcentral lists this long non-coding RNA (1306 nucleotides) under Salvia miltiorrhiza (redroot sage). RNAcentral's name for it is "long non-coding RNA (SMIL_LNC006412)". Lineage: Eukaryota; Viridiplantae; Streptophyta; Magnoliopsida; Lamiales; Lamiaceae. The record is from RNAcentral.